GAAUAAUAAUACUACUUGCAAUAUGAAAUAAAGUUUAUAUUGUAUAUUUGUCAUUUUAUCACAUUUUUCAUCAUAUAUUUUUGACUAAAUUAUAGAAAACUCUCAUGUCAAUACCUGAUUUUUCACUUUCCGCCAUUAUCAUUUAAAACCUACACUUUGUCCCCCUGUAAAAUAAAAAAUAUUCACAGGGGGUACGGUGUGAACUAUGAUGAUAAAAUGACUAUUUUGUCCCUCACCAUAUUCACAAGAGAGAAGACUGAGGGCAUUUUUGGCAUAAAAAAUAUAUAAUAAUAUUUUAUAAACGGAACCCUAACGAAUUACUAAUAGCAGGGGGCGAAGUGAACAUUUUUCAUUUACAAGGGGGCAAACCGUAGGUUUUUAAAUGAUAGGGGAGGAAAGUGAAAAAUUGGAUUUAGCCAGGGGGAUUG
RNAcentral lists this long non-coding RNA (428 nucleotides) under Ananas comosus (pineapple). Its description in RNAcentral is "long non-coding RNA (ACOM_LNC030194)". Lineage: Eukaryota; Viridiplantae; Streptophyta; Magnoliopsida; Poales; Bromeliaceae. The record is from RNAcentral.